UACAGAGGGUGCAAGCGUUGUUCGGAAUUAUUGGGCGUAAAGCGCGUGUAGGCGGCAUUGCAAGUCGGGUGUGAAAGCCUUCAGCUCAACUGAGGAAGUGCGCCCGAAACUGCAGAGCUUGAGUGCCGGAGAGGGUGGCGGAAUUCCCCAAGUAGAGGUGAAAUUCGUAGAUAUGGGGAGGAACACCGGUGGCGAAGGCGGCCACCUG
This 208-nucleotide ribosomal RNA is filed under the name uncultured bacterium. RNAcentral's name for it is "partial 16S ribosomal RNA". It matches the Rfam family "Bacterial small subunit ribosomal RNA", at positions 524 to 731 of the family's 1533-position model. The record is from RNAcentral.